This 2056-nucleotide ribosomal RNA is filed under the name Listeria monocytogenes. RNAcentral's name for it is "partial 23S ribosomal RNA". It matches the Rfam family "Bacterial large subunit ribosomal RNA", at positions 876 to 2925 of the family's 2925-position model. The record is from RNAcentral. Lineage: Bacteria; Bacillati; Bacillota; Bacilli; Caryophanales; Listeriaceae.
CUAGCCUCGAGGUAAAGAGUCAUGGAGGUAGAGCACUGUUUGGACUAGGGGCCCUUCUCGGGUUACCGAAUUCAGAUAAACUCCGAAUGCCAUGUACUUAUACUCGGGAGUCAGACUGCGAGUGAUAAGAUCCGUAGUCGAAAGGGAAACAGCCCAGACCACCAGUUAAGGUCCCCAAAUAUAUGUUAAGUGGAAAAGGAUGUGGGGUUGCUUAGACAACCAGGAUGUUGGCUUAGAAGCAGCCACCAUUGAAAGAGUGCGUAAUAGCUCACUGGUCGAGUGACCCCGCGCCGAAAAUGUACCGGGGCUAAACAUAUUACCGAAACUGUGGAUGAACCUCUUUAGAGGUUCGUGGUAGGAGAGCGUUCUAAGGGCGGUGAAGUCAGACCGGAAGGACUGGUGGAGCGCUUAGAAGUGAGAAUGCCGGUAUGAGUAGCGAAAGAAGGGUGAGAAUCCCUUCCACCGAAUAUCUAAGGUUUCCUGAGGAAGGCUCGUCCGCUCAGGGUUAGUCGGGACCUAAGCCGAGGCCGAUAGGCGUAGGCGAUGGACAACAGGUAGAGAUUCCUGUACCAGUGCUAAUUGUUUAACCGAUGGGGUGACACAGAAGGAUAGGGAAUCGCACGAAUGGAAAUGUGCGUCCAAGCAGUGAGUGUGAGAAGUAGGCAAAUCCGCUUCUCGCGAAGCAUGAGCUGUGAUGGGGAAGGAAAUUAAGUACGGAAGUUCCUGAUUUCACGCUGUCAAGAAAAGCCUCUAGGAAGAGUAGUACUGCCCGUACCGCAAACCGACACAGGUAGAUGAGGAGAGAAUCCUAAGGUGAGCGAGAGAACUCUCGUUAAGGAACUCGGCAAAAUGACCCCGUAACUUCGGGAGAAGGGGUGCUCUAUUAGGGUGCAAGCCCGAGAGAGCCGCAGUGAAUAGGCCCAGGCGACUGUUUAGCAAAAACACAGGUCUCUGCAAAACCGUAAGGUGACGUAUAGGGGCUGACGCCUGCCCGGUGCUGGAAGGUUAAGAGGAGUGCUUAGCUUCGGCGAAGGUACGAAUUGAAGCCCCAGUAAACGGCGGCCGUAACUAUAACGGUCCUAAGGUAGCGAAAUUCCUUGUCGGGUAAGUUCCGACCCGCACGAAAGGCGCAACGAUCUGGGCACUGUCUCAACGAGAGACUCGGUGAAAUUAUAGUACCUGUGAAGAUGCAGGUUACCCGCGACAGGACGGAAAGACCCCGUGGAGCUUUACUGCAACCUGAUAUGGAAUGUUUGUACCGCUUGUACAGGAUAGGUAGGAGCCGAAGAGACGUGUGCGCUAGCAUACGAGGAGGCAAUGGUGGGAUACUACCCUGGCUGUAUGACCAUUCUAACCCGCCACGCUUAGCGCGUGGGGAGACAGUGUCAGGUGGGCAGUUUGACUGGGGCGGUCGCCUCCUAAAGAGUAACGGAGGCGCCCAAAGGUUCCCUCAGAAUGGAUGGAAAUCAUUCGCAGAGUGUAAAGGCACAAGGGAGCUUGACUGCGAGACUGACAAGUCGAGCAGGGACGAAAGUCGGGCUUAGUGAUCCGGUGGUUCCGCAUGGAAGGGCCAUCGCUCAACGGAUAAAAGCUACCCCGGGGAUAACAGGCUUAUCUCCCCCAAGAGUCCACAUCGACGGGGAGGUUUGGCACCUCGAUGUCGGCUCGUCGCAUCCUGGGGCUGUAGUCGGUCCCAAGGGUUGGGCUGUUCGCCCAUUAAAGCGGCACGCGAGCUGGGUUCAGAACGUCGUGAGACAGUUCGGUCCCUAUCCGUCGCGGGCGCAGGAAAUUUGAGAGGAGCUGUCCUUAGUACGAGAGGACCGGGAUGGACACACCGCUGGUGUACCAGUUGUUCCGCCAGGAGCAUCGCUGGGUAGCUAUGUGUGGCAGGGAUAAACGCUGAAAGCAUCUAAGCGUGAAGCCCCCCUCAAGAUGAGAUUUCCCAUUUCUUCGGAAAGUAAGAUCCCUGAAAGAUGAUCAGGUAGAUAGGUUUGGAGUGGAAGUGUAGCGAUACAUGGAGCGGACAAAUACUAAUCGAUCGAGGACUUAACCAAAA